RNAcentral lists this signal recognition particle RNA (290 nucleotides) under Phascolarctos cinereus (koala). RNAcentral describes it as "Metazoan signal recognition particle RNA (ENSPCIG00000002273.2)". It matches the Rfam family "Metazoan signal recognition particle RNA". Rfam says of the family: The signal recognition particle (SRP) is a universally conserved ribonucleoprotein. It is involved in the co-translational targeting of proteins to membranes. The record is from RNAcentral. Lineage: Eukaryota; Metazoa; Chordata; Mammalia; Diprotodontia; Phascolarctidae.
GUUGCCAGGUGGGCUGGCUUAAUCCCUGCUUCCAAGGGAGGCUGAGGGUGGGGGAUCUCUUGAGCAUGGGAGUUUUGAGCUGCAGAGGGAUAAACAGAUAGAAUGUCAGCACUAAAUUGUCAUUUAUGUGCUGUGAAUCUCUGGAACUGGGACCCACCAGAUUUCCUAAGGAGAGGGAAACCAGCCCAGGUUGGACAUAGAGCAGGCUAAAAGCUCCUGUGUGGAUCAGAGUGGGCCCCUGAAUAUCUUCUGCAUUUCCAGCUCAAGCAAGAUAGGGAGUCCCAGACUAA